Molecule: long non-coding RNA, 1622 nt
Filed under: Bemisia tabaci
Lineage: Eukaryota; Metazoa; Arthropoda; Insecta; Hemiptera; Aleyrodidae
Description: lncRNA ENSASIAIIG009833
Source: RNAcentral
UUUCUUAAAAAGAGCAAUGUUCUAUUGAUGUCUAAUUUUCUGUUGCAUGAAGUUCGUGUUUUCCUUGGAUUUUUCUUGACACAAUGCCAUGCUGCAAUGCCCUACCACUUCAUCAAAGAAGAAUUUCUCUUUAAGUCUGUUAAAGACUCAACAACAAACUAUCGGAGAGAGGGGGAAGAUCAGCAUAAUAUUCUAACAGAGGAGGCGUACACUAUGCAAUUAACUUUUACUGUUCACUCUUGACUGUCCACAGUUCGUUUAUGAUAUACUAAAAAAAAUCAAGAUUUAUGUUUUUUUAAAUAAAUGUAAGAUUGCCGAUAACUUACGGAAAUCAUGAACGGUCGGUCAAAAUGCGCGAACCCAUUAGCCACAACUUCGCACCUAUCUGUUUUGAUUUGUCCUAAAUACAAUAAUACCUGGAAAUAAGAAAUUACUCUGAUGAAAAAUUUACAAUUUACAAUUUACAUUCGUCGAGGCUUCAAAAACGGAUAUUUUAAAAAUUUUCUAGGAUUUUGAUGUAUCAAUGGACCUCUGACAAGGUUCAAAUUUAAGGACUAACAUGCAUGUUUCUCAUCAAAAUUUUACGUAGAAUACGAUCUGUGCAACACAACUUAUUAGAAGUAUAACUCAUAGUCAAGCAUAAUGUUUUCCGUUGCACACGAUUGAAAUUUUGAAUAGAAAAAUACAGCAGAACGCUCAAAUUUAUUUUGUGUGUAUUGAUGCAUUGAAAAAAUCAGAUAAUUUCUAUACCAAUUUCACGACAAAGUCAAGGAAAAGAAGCAGGGGUUUAUUUUAAGAUAACCAUAUUUUGCUACUCCUGCUCAAAGGGUAAAUUGCAGAGCACAGGAAGUUGAUAUGAAAUUUGAGUCCUUCUAUGUGGCCCUUGUCGGAACAUAUAAUUUUCCUUGGUAUAUAUUUAAAAUUUAAAUCACCGAAAAUAUUACCAACCUGACUGACACACUUUGAAGAUAAAUUGCUCAACUGUAAUUUUUUUACUUCACAGCUCACCCGUUGUUUCUGCACAGAAAUGCAAUCAGUUACAAUCGAAUAAAAUGCAACAUUAAAAAAACCGUAUCAUUCAGUCAAUUCUGACGUGCAUGAGUCUAGAGUUUAUCGUCAUCUUUUAAUAGGAACUUCGCGGUAAUUAUCUUGUAGAAAAAUGCAUUUUUGAGUCCUUUUGCAACCUUGAAAUGUAAUUACGUAUAUUCGCUUGUCCGAAAAAGACGAUCUAUGACCAGCGGGUCAAUUAUUAAAUAGUUAUCGAAUGAACUCGAUCGAUAUAUCCCUAUCUUGGCAUUUAUUUUUAUCGACCAAGGUCAUUCGAUAAUGGUUUAAUAAUCGACCUGCAGGAAAAGAAAAAACACCAAAAAUGUGGCCCGGAUAAUACUGUAGGUAACAAGAUGUGAAGUUGUGCUGGGUCCACACUAACCUGAAGGAAAAUCAAAACCAAAAAAUUAAAAAUAAUAGAUGGAGAACAUUAUUGCAGUUCAUUUUGUGACUCUAAUUCCAAUUUGUGGAUUUUUUGGCUUUAAUUUCUCCGGAGGAUAACCUGGACCCAGCUCUAUUUUACCAUCCUGCUCCUGAUGAUCAGAAAUCUAAUAUCUGGUAACAUUUUUUUCCUC